CAAUUGCAAGUUACCCCUGUAGUCACGUAGAAGUUGUUCUUCCUUUCUCGCUGUGCUGCCGUCAACAACUCGCCGGUCUAUUGCGCAGCUAUUUGUGGGUGGCCGGUGGAGGAAAGAACAAUUCGAACAAAAAUAUGAUUUCUAUCCGAUGGUGAAGCUGAAGCUGAAGCUGGUGGCUAGAAGGGCGGAGAAGCAGAUCCCAACGGAGCCGCACUGGGCAUUUUGUUACUCUAUGCUUCAUAAAGUUUCUAGAAGCUUCGUUCUCGUCAUUCAGCAGCUAGAUACCGAUUUUCGUGACGCUGUCCCUCUAUUUAGCAUGUAUAGUCUUCCAACUAAGUUACCUACAGCCAAAAUCUUCAUGGUCACAUGGUCCUGCAAAAGACAUUUAUUAUUGGUAAAGGUUAUCCUAAGAGAGUUAUCAUAGCAUGCCUUACUCACAGACAACAAGUUAUGUUUGAAAGUAGGUACAUAAAGCACCUCAUUAAGGAUGAUUUCUUUAGUUAAUUGUAUUUUACCUGUCCAGUUUACUUUCUUCACAGUCCCAUCAGGCAAUUUAACAUGUAUAGGUGAGUUAAGGGCCUUUGGAUCAGAUAAUAGUCUCAAUUCACAGCACAUAUGAGUGGAUGCGCCACUAUCUAUUAUCCAUUGGUUAAUAGAAGAUGCAGUGGUAUUGAAUAAAGCAAGUGUAUUACCUGUGAAAUCUUGGUAUUCUAUCAUAUUGGCAGCAGGUUCUGGCAUGUAUCU
Sesamum indicum (sesame) is the source of this 744-nucleotide non-coding RNA. NCBI's taxonomy places the organism in Eukaryota, Viridiplantae, Streptophyta, Magnoliopsida, Lamiales, Pedaliaceae. The record is from RefSeq and is a predicted model, not a curated record.